AGGAACCAGACUGUGAACAAGUUUACCAUUUAGUCCUUUGGACUGUGUCUUGAAUUCAUCCCUCUUCUCCAUUCUCACCAGCACCAUCAUCAUGAUGGCUAAUAUUUCCUGAGCACCUUUCAUUCAGGCAUGAUGCCAGGUGCACCAACUUACUUAAUCCUCAUAGCCACCACCUGAGCAAGCUCCUGUUUUAUAAAUGGACCAGUUCUUGUUGCUGUUGUACAAGUUAUUUUCUUUCUAUAACGUCCUCCUUGUCCUCCUUCCACAUUCUUAAAGAAACUUUCCCUUCCUUUAAAGUACUCAGGGAGCCCUGCAUUGCUUCUUGAAGCCUUCUCCAGCUUCAUCAUCUCACAGUGGUCUCUCUUUUCACUAAAUGUCCAAUAUGCUGCACAUAAGUACCCCAAAGUUAGCACAGAAUUGUUCCAUGGCUGUCAUAUAUGUUAAAAAUCAUUAAAAGUUCAUUUUUUCUCCCAUUAUGGGAAGGAUACAUGCUCCUACUAGUAAAUUUAGUUGGUAGAAAAAAAUUAUCACUAUCUAGACUGCUUUCCCUUUAGUCUUUAUGCAUAGCUUUCUGUCUGCCUAUUUUUACUUUGUGUUUGUAACUUACUAUUAUAAAAUAUGCAUCUCUAUGUUCAUUGUCAACAUUAUUUACAAUAACAUGGAGUGGAUUUACAUGUAUUCUCUAUAUUUGGAUUAAAGGAGAUAGAGUAUGUGAAAUUAAAUGGGAGAAGUAUCUGAUACAUAACAGGCAAUACAAAUAUUAUCACAUAGCGUCAAUUUAUUUGUGAAUAUUGAAAGCUCCAAAAAAGAAAAAAAGUUUUUUUUUAAUUCCCGUAAUUACUUAUUGCAGUAUUGUGUUCAUACAAACUGCUCAGUCAUUUUGGAGAAAUAACAAUUUUUUUCCUCAUCAUGAAGUAAGGUAUGCUCACUGCAAAAAAAAUCUAGAAAAUAAAGAGGAACAUGCUAAAGAAAAGAAUACUCCCAUAUAAUCUCUGUCUUCAUAAAUAAUCUUUUGUAACGCUUAUACACUGCUGGUGGGAAUGUAAAUUAGUUCAGCCAUUGUGAAAAGUAGCGUAGCAAUUCCUUGAAAAACUUAAAAUAGAAUUACCGUUCAACCCAGCAAUCCCAUUAUUGGGCAUAUACCCAGUGGAAUGUAAAUCAUCCUGCCAUAAAAACACAUGCACAUGUAUGUUCAUUGCAGCACUAUUCACAAUAGCAAAGACAUGGAAUCAACCUAUAUGCCCAUCAAUAGUAGACUGAAUAAAGAAAAUAUGGUACAUAUUCACCACAGAAUACUAAGCAGCCAUAAAAAAGAAAAAGAUCAUGUCCUUUGCAGCAAUAUGGAUGGAGCUAGAGGCCAUUAUCCUAAGCAAACUAAUGCAGAAACAGAAAACCAGAUACUGCAUGCUCUCACUUAUAAGUGGGAGAUACACCAUGAGAACACAUGAACACAAAAAGCGGAAAAAGAGACACCAUGGCCUACUUGAGGGUGGAGGCUGGGAGGAGGGAGAGAAUCAAAAAACUUCCUAUGGAGUACUAUGCUUAUUACCUGCGUGAUGAAAUAAUCACUUUGAACAUUGUCAGUACAUUAUCUUCUAAUCUAGACUCUUUUCUAUGUUCUAUAUGCACACAGAAAUACACAUGCAAAGCUGAACACAUAUGUGAAACAAAAUUCAGACACUCAAAUUUUCCGCCAAUACAUGAUAAAAUCUUGCACAAUAGCUUCCUCCACAGAGGAAAAUGUCUUUACUACAUCUUAAAAAUGGGGUAAAUGAAUAGUUAGGCUCUUCAGUGUAAUAAUCAUGGUAAAUAUUCUCAAUGUGCGAAAAUACAAACAAAAGACUUUCUCUCCCAGCAAAUUUAGACCCACAUGAAAAUUUAAGCACAAUCAUUUUAAACGAAUUUACCCUGGAGCUUAGUGGUUCGAGCUCAAGGUUGAGGAGCAGUCUGGGGACAUCAGCUCUUAAUAUUUUUCAAGUUUUGGAGCAAGUGGUUUCUAGGUUCUGAGUGAAGUGAAACAGAAUCUCUAGGGGCAUGUGGUAAAGAUAAUCCCAUACUAUGUACUGCGUAGAGUUAAAGAGAAGAGGCGAGAGCAUGAAGAUAAACCAGUACAAUCAGUCGUUCACAUACCACUAACUACAAUGAUACUCCCGUUUGCUUCCUGUGAAGUAGUUACUAAUAAUCACUGAUGUCGCUUUUUAAUUUCAUACAUCCUUUAACUAUCUUCAUAUAGGUAUUGAAAGAGUCAACAUAAAAGCCACAUCCAUUUUCUAAUUUUGAACAAUAGUUAGAGAAACCUAAUAUCUUCUCAUAUUUUUGUCUUGCUUCUGUCUCAUGAGUUCCCAAAAUAGAUAUAUUAUCUGAAUGAAGAGUUCAUGGGCAAAUGUCACACUUUUCUUGGUUUGGCUAAUUAUAUUUCUGCUUUUGCUUAGAAUAAGAUUAAUUUUCCUAUUCUGCUAAUAAACCACGUGAUGGCAAAAUGCCUUAUUCUGAGAAAAGAAGCCUUUGGUAUUUUAAAGAAUUGGGAAGCUAUUUCAGAUAAGCUAUCAUAUGCAUGAAGAUUAAUUUAUUCAUAUGAAAUGUUCAAUAACCAGAAAAGACUGUUUUAAAUAAAACCAUUUCACAAUU
RNAcentral lists this long non-coding RNA (2628 nucleotides) under Homo sapiens (human). RNAcentral's name for it is "non-protein coding NUTM2B-AS1:35". Lineage: Eukaryota; Metazoa; Chordata; Mammalia; Primates; Hominidae. The record is from RNAcentral.